Molecule: long non-coding RNA, 676 nt
Organism: Tachysurus fulvidraco (yellow catfish)
Lineage: Eukaryota; Metazoa; Chordata; Actinopteri; Siluriformes; Bagridae
Exons: 3
Source: RefSeq, a predicted model, not a curated record
UGUUAUUCCAGUGUAGAAUUGUAUCGUGUUUGAUUUGUUCAGAAGGUGUUGAUUGUUCAGCAGCCCUGACAGUAAUAUCACAGAUUUAGAUUUUAUUCUUAUAAUAAUUUCUAUUGUAACGCUGUCACGAACGCGGGAUGGAAUAGACCCAGAUGCAGGAUGGUGAAAUAAACAGGUUUAAUAACAAAGGAAACACAAAACACGACACGGACUAAAGACAGGACAGGACAACAGUAGAUUCCGCUCUGCACAAGGCAACGCGGCACAGUUAAAUACACAGGGUUAUCACAAUAGGAAACAGGUGUGUAGACAGGGAGGAGCACACGAAGGCGGGGCAGACACGUGACGAGAAACGUAAACACAUGCACGUGGCCAAAGUCCGGGCUGAGUCCUGACAAAACGCACACAGGGACGUAUUUAACAAUUAAUAAUGUAGGUUCCUGUGUUAGCUGUAACUGGUUUCUAAAAAAAUGCUGCAACUUUUGCUCUAUUAAAAAAGGGAGAGGCUUGAAACUGUUUAUAUCUACAACAGCUUAGGGGGAUUUGCCUCAAGUAGUCGUCAUGACAAAAGUUGAUGAAAUUUGCCCACUGGUUAAAGAGGACAUAAGAAAGGUCUACACCAGCAAGAAGAUUAAAGAAAAGAUGCAGGGGUGCAGUAAUGUACUGGGGAUUCCAA